Molecule: transfer RNA, 67 nt
Filed under: Monodelphis domestica (gray short-tailed opossum)
Lineage: Eukaryota; Metazoa; Chordata; Mammalia; Didelphimorphia; Didelphidae
Rfam family: tRNA
About the family: Transfer RNA (tRNA) molecules are approximately 80 nucleotides in length. Their secondary structure includes four short double-helical elements and three loops (D, anti-codon, and T loops). Further hydrogen bonds mediate the characteristic L-shaped molecular structure. tRNAs have two regions of fundamental functional importance: the anti-codon, which is responsible for specific mRNA codon recognition, and the 3' end, to which the tRNAs corresponding amino acid is attached (by aminoacyl-tRNA synthetases). tRNAs cope with the degeneracy of the genetic code in two manners: having more than one tRNA (with a specific anti-codon) for a particular amino acid; and 'wobble' base-pairing, i.e. permitting non-standard base-pairing at the 3rd anti-codon position.
Source: Rfam by way of RNAcentral
CAGAGCAUAGCAUAAUGAAUGCAGCAGAUCCUGAAUCUGGGAACUUGGGUUCAAAUCCCAAUUCUGC